RNA transcript from Cavia porcellus (domestic guinea pig), 966 nucleotides. RefSeq lists it as uncharacterized. The record is from RefSeq and is a predicted model, not a curated record. NCBI's taxonomy places the organism in Eukaryota, Metazoa, Chordata, Mammalia, Rodentia, Caviidae. The transcript has 5 exons.
UCCUAUUGACAUGACCCCUUAAUGUUACACUAAGUCAUGUAACUAUUUGUCCAAUGGGGUGUUAGGAGAUGUGAAAGAGGAGAGGACUGGAGUAGGCUUCCACACUGGAGUUUGUUUUCUUUUGCACCGUUGCCAGCACCCUGAGAACACUCUUGAACCAGACUGUGGAAGGAUGAGAUGCACAUAAUCAGAGACAAAAAGAAAAAGGAAGAAGAAGAGGAAGAGAAGAAGAAGAAGGAGAAGGAGAAGGAGAAGGAGGAAGAGAAAGAGGAGAAGGAGGAGGAGGAGGAGAAGAAAAGAGGAAGAAGAAGAAGAAAAAGAAGAAGAAGAAGAAGAAGAAGAAGAAGAAGAAGAAGAAGAAGAAGAAGAAGAAGAAGAAGAAAAAAAAGAAGAAGAAACCUAAAAAUUUCAAAGCACAUCAAUCAAGGGGAAACAAUGGCUCUUAAACACCAUUUGUGUCACCUCUUUUCAUCAAAGUCUUCGUUGGUGUAUCAAUAAUCCGCUUCAGGGUGCUUCUGCACCAUCAUGCAGAGAGGCCUCGUUCCUUGGAAGUGAGAUGGAGAACCUUGUGUUUUUGGGUGAAGGAGCCAGAAAGGAGUGAAAAUACUUGAAUUUUGAAAAGCUUAACAAAGGUUGAGUAAGACGGAAUUAUUGGUAUUUCCUUUAUCUCUCACAUGCAGAGGGAAAAAAAACUACUGGAUUUCUUACUUAAAUAACGAUGGAGUAAACUUGAAGAUGCUUCCUGAUUUUGAUUCUGUAUUUGAACAUGUCAUUUAAUUAACUAUUAGGUUUAAAUAUAGAAACUGGUUUUGUACUGAGAGGAUGGACACAAAUGGAGUGUGUGUUCUAGACUAUUAUCACCAGUGGAUGGCGAUGUACUGUUGUAACAGUAGCAGAGACCUGUGAUCAAAGGAGAUAUUUAUGAGACCUACUCAGUGUUGCAGAAAAUUACAAUUACAGAUAAGG